Molecule: long non-coding RNA, 1843 nt
Organism: Oryctolagus cuniculus (rabbit)
Lineage: Eukaryota; Metazoa; Chordata; Mammalia; Lagomorpha; Leporidae
Source: Ensembl
AUGCAUGGAUGUUGGUUUGUAACAAGUCUGAUCAGUAUACAUGGUCAGGUGAACUUUUUGAAGUCUCCUAAGAAAAGGAAAGGUAGGUAUAGGAUAAAUCUAUGUAUUAAGAUACAAAUAAUUUUUAAAAAUAUGAGCAAUUUUUCAAAUUCUAACAUGCUAUUGCUUUGUGACAGUUUUUUACUUCUGCGCUUAGUUUUGCAAUCCUUAAAAUGGAGUGAACAUUAUUGUUUUUAUAAAGUUGCUUUGCAGGUUGAAUAAAGCAAUGCUUUGUAAACUGCUUAGAGUGACUGGCAAUCAGCACUUAGCUGCAGUCUUUUUUUAAUAUAUUUCAUAAAGAUAAUUUAGACUCUAAGAAGAUUAUAGAGGAUUUUCUCAUGAGUAAUUGAGAUAUAAAACUCAUAAAAUAUUUCCAAGAAUAAUGAAAGUUUUGAUCAGAAACAGAAUAUUACCGAUUGGGCUGUGUGAUAAUUAUUACAUUUCAUUCCUAAAAUGAUAUGUUAAGGAAAAUACAGUAAAUACUAUGCUGACAUUGAGCCAAUUGGGCAAGUAGAAAUUAUAGUCAUUGUAUUUGAAACUUAUGGAAAAGAGCAAAACUUCUGGAUCAUAUGCAGAAAGUGGCAUAUUCUGGUAAUACAUAGCUAACACUCCUUGUUUGCACCGCACACACACAGACACAGGCUUAUUGCCAAGAAGAGAGAAUAAUGAAACUCAAGAAGUCACAGAUGUACAACCACCAUAAGAAUCCUGCUGGGCUGGAAACACAUGAGGCAUCACCUUCUGGCUCCUGGAGCUUCAAAGGAGGAUGUUUUUCAUCUUGGAACAGGGACCAAUCAUUUACUACUCUGGCCCUGCAGGGUCUCCCUGUCAAUGUCACUGUCUGUUAAUUUCCUUGUGUGUCCCAUAUUGUUUGUUUUUCUAUCCCUCACCCACUCUCUUCAUUUUUUACUUUACUUUUUUUUUUUUUUUUUUUGACAGGAAGAGUUAGACAGUGAGAGAGAGAGAGACAGAGAGAAAGAUCUUCCUUCCGUUGGUUCACCCCGCAAAGGGUCACUACGGCCAGAGCGCUGCACCGAUCCAAAGCCAGGAGCCAGGUGCUUCCACCUGGUCUCCAAUGCGGGUAUAGGGCCCAAGCACUUGGGCCAUCCUCCACUGCCUUCCUGGGCCACAGCAGAGAGCUGGACUGGAAGAGGAGCAACUGGGACAGAAUCCGGCGCCCCGACCGGGACUAGAACCUGGUGUGCCGGUGCCGCAGGCAGAGGAUUAGCCUAGUGAGCCAUGGUGCCGGUCUCUUCAUUUUUUUCAGACAAAUGCUUUUUGUUCUUUUUAUUAUUGGAGGGGUAUUUUUUUUUUAAAUGACAGAGACUAAGUUAUAGGAGGCAAUGAGUUCAACUCAAUGAAGAUUCCUAAAUGCCUAUGUUAAGGCAUAGACAAGUUGAUGAUUAAGGAAUACUACUUCCCUAAAGACCACUCCUGGGCCUUCACACUGAGAGCGCCUGAAAAAUGAAUAGGCUGAUCUAGGAUGAGCUGUGUGGCUGGACCAAAUUGGUGGGACAGCCAACAUGGUCUUGAAAAGUAUGCCAUAGAAUGAAGAAAAAGGACACAACCAGUGGUAAAAAUAUUUCCUCAGUUGGAAGUCUACUAGAAUUUACUCAUCAAUUAUAUUGCAUUUUAUAACUUGCAACAAACAAGACUCCAAAUGCUAUCAAUCAGGAUUGCAUUGGAAAGGAAGAAUGCUAUCAGUCAAGGGCUAAAUCUGGCAACUGAAAAUUUUCUGAAGAUGUCUGUAGGGAUAUAGUUUUGGACUAAUAAACAAAUGUCUUUAUUCUCUCUUUUUUAAAAA